UACAGAGGGGGCAAGCGUUGUUCGGAAUUACUGGGCGUAAAGGGCUCGUAGGCGGCCAACUAAGUCAGACGUGAAAUCCCUCGGCUUAACCGGGGAACUGCGUCUGAUACUGGAUGGCUUGAGGUUGGGAGAGGGAUGCGGAAUUCCAGGUGUAGCGGUGAAAUGCGUAGAUAUCUGGAGGAACACCGGUGGCGAAGGCGGCAUCCUGGACCAAUUCUGACGCUGAGUGAGCGAAAGCCAGGGGAGCAAACGGG
This 254-nucleotide ribosomal RNA is filed under the name uncultured bacterium. RNAcentral's name for it is "partial 16S ribosomal RNA". It matches the Rfam family "Bacterial small subunit ribosomal RNA", at positions 524 to 776 of the family's 1533-position model. The record is from RNAcentral.